RNAcentral lists this ribosomal RNA (327 nucleotides) under uncultured eukaryote. RNAcentral's name for it is "partial 18S ribosomal RNA". It matches the Rfam family "Eukaryotic small subunit ribosomal RNA", at positions 1470 to 1796 of the family's 1831-position model. The record is from RNAcentral.
CCCUUAGAUGUUCUGGGCCGCACGCGUGCUACACUGAGUGGAUCAGCGGGUCAGGUUGCGCGAAAGCGUUUCCUAAUCUUUAAAUCCGCUCGUGAUGGGGAUUGACGGUUGCAAUUUUCUGUCAUGAACGAGGAAUACCUUGUAAGCGCGGGUCAUCAUCCCGCGCUGAAUACGUCCCUGCCCUUUGUACACACCGCCCGUCGCUCCUACCGAUUGAAUGGUUUAGUGAGAUCUUCGGAUUGGCGCCACUGCGGCUCAGCAAUGGGCUCGGUGGAUGCCGAAAAGUUGAUCAAACUUGAUCAUUUAGAGGAAGUAAAAGUCGUAACA